Molecule: ribosomal RNA, 423 nt
Filed under: uncultured archaeon
Lineage: Archaea
Description: bacterial SSU rRNA
Rfam family: Archaeal small subunit ribosomal RNA
Source: RNAcentral
CAGCCGCCGCGGUAAUCCCAGCAGUCCAAGUCGCAGCCACAUUUGUUGGGUCUAAAACAUCCGUAGCUUGCUCUGUAAGUUCUUUGUGAAAUCGGGCCUCUUAAGGGUCCGGCGAGCAAAGAAUACUGCUUAGCUUGAGACCGGGAGACGUAAAGAGUACAGAUUGGGUAGCGGUAAAAUGUGUUGAUCCUUUCUGGACUAACAAUAGCGAAGGCACUUUACGAGAACGGAUCUGACAGUGAGGGAUGAAGGCUAGGGGCGCAAAGUGGAUUAGAUACCCAUGUAGUCCUAGCAGUAAACACUGCACACUAAACAUUGGUACCUCUUCGAGAGGUAUCAGUGCUGUAGGGAAGCCGGAGAGUGUGCUACCUGGGAAGUAUAGUCGCAAGGCCGAAACUUAAAGGACUUGGCGGGCGUACCCUC